ACUCCUACGGGAGGCAGCAGUGGGGAAUAUUGCACAAUGGGGAAACCCUGAUGCAGCCAUGCCGCGUGUGUGAAGAAGGCCUUCGGGUUGUAAAGCACUUUCAGUAGGGAGGAAGGUAGUGUAGUUAACACCUGCAUUAUUUGACGUUACCUACAGAAGAAGCACCGGCUAAACUCCGUGCCAGCAGCCGCGGUAAUACGGAGGGUGCGAGCGUUAAUCGGAAUUACUGGGCGUAAAGCGCAUGCAGGCGGCCUGUUAAGUCAGAUGUGAAAGCCCGGGGGCUUAACUCGGAAUUGCAUUUGAAACUGGCAGGCUAGAGUCUUGUAUAGGGGGUAGGAAUUU
This 342-nucleotide ribosomal RNA is filed under the name uncultured bacterium. Its description in RNAcentral is "bacterial SSU rRNA". It matches the Rfam family "Bacterial small subunit ribosomal RNA", at positions 335 to 669 of the family's 1533-position model. The record is from RNAcentral.